This is an RNA transcript of Periophthalmus magnuspinnatus, 5070 nucleotides long. It is a transcript of the gene named formin-binding protein 1, with no coding region annotated. Lineage: Eukaryota; Metazoa; Chordata; Actinopteri; Gobiiformes; Gobiidae. The transcript is spliced from 18 exons. The record is from RefSeq and is a predicted model, not a curated record.
GUGUAGUUCCUCUUUACGUGGAUUAACGCAGAGUAUCGUUAUCAAGAACAUCAUGGAGAAAUUUGAGACGCUUGUAAAGGAGCAACAGCUAAAGGAUCAGUUUGACAACUUGGAGAAGCACACACAGUGGGGUAUUGAGUUCACCGAGAAGUACACCAAAUUUGUUAAGGAAAGAUCGGAGAUUGAAGUCAGCUAUGCAAAACAAAUUAGAAAUUUAUCAAAGAAGUAUCAACCCAAGAAGAACUCGCGGGAAGAGGAAGAGAGCAAGUAUACCGUCUGUCGAGCCUUCCAACAAACGCUUAGUGAAUUGAAUGACUACGCGGGUCAGCACGAGCUUAUAUCGGAAAACCUGACAACGCAAAUCAUUAAUGAGCUGUCACGGUUCCUACAAGAACUCAAAAGUGAACGGAAAGCGCACUUUCAUGAAGGGCGUAAGGCACAGCAGCAAAUUGAAAGCUCGUGGAAACAACUGGAAUCAAGUAAAAAACGGUUUGAGAGGGACUGUAAAGAGGCGGAGAAGGCGCAACAGUAUUUUGAGAAGAUGGACGCGGACAUAAACGUGACUAAAGCUGAUGUUGAAAAGGCACGACAGCACGCUCAGAUGAGACAACAGAUGAUGUCGGACAGCAAGAAUGAGUACUCCUCCUACCUGCAGAAGUUCAACCAGGAGCAGAAUGACCAUUACUAUACCCACAUACCCAGUGUAUUUCAGAAACUUCAAGACAUGGAGGAGAGAAGAAUUGAGAAGUUGGGAGUGUGCAUGAAGACGUUUGCUGAUGUGGACCGCCAGGUGCUGCCCAUCGUGGAUAAGUGUUUAGACGGCAUGGUCAAAGCUGCAGAGUCCGUUGAGCCUAAGACUGACUCAAAUCAGGUGGUGGAGUCAUACAAGUCGGGGUUUGAGCCUCCAGGAGAUGUAGAGUUUGAAGACUAUGGACAGGCCAUGAAGAGGACGGUGUCAGAAACCAGUCUAUCCAAUUCCAGAGAGGUCAAAGAGAAAUCCACUGGCAAAAGUAAAGGCAAACUGUGGCCUUUUAUAAAGAACAAGAACAAGCUUAUGUCCCUGUUAACGUCCCCUCGCCAGCCCCCACCCGCCCCCCCAGCCACAUCCUCGCCCUCAUCCUCUGCUGUUCCCAACGACCCCCAGUCUCCCAAGCAGCACAAGGAGCCCCUGUCCCAUCGCCUCAACGACUUCAUGACGUCCAAACCCAAAAUACACUGCCUACGGAGCCUGAGGCGAGGGCUUUCUCUCAAGCUGAUCACACUCAAUUCCCACGUCCGGAAUCUCAUUGAGGGAUCUGGACCAGAGGACUUCAGCCAUCUCCCCCCUGAGCAAAGGAGAAAGAAAUUGCAGGGAAAGAUAGAUGAUAUAAAUAAGGACAUCCAGAAAGAGAUGGACACGAGGGACGGACUUUUGAAGAUGAAAGACGUGUACGCAAAGAACCCCCAAAUGGGUGACCCGGCCAGCGUAGACCCACGGCUAGCAGAAAUUGGACAGACCAUUGAAAAACUGCAGUCUGAAGUUCAGAAGUUUGAGGGUUGGCUCGCAGAGGUAGAAGAAAGAAUGCCUUCCAAAAGCGAUUCACAGAGAAGAAGUGUAAUUUAUGAAACGCAAAAUAGCACAACAGCAGUGAGCAACAACUGUGCACAAGACAGAGAGAGCCCGGAUGGCAGUUACACAGAGGAGCAGAACUCAGAGACUCAAGUCAAAGCCAGCACCAACCUUAACCCCACGACCUCCGCACCAGAGAACGACGAUGACGAUGAGUUUGAUGACGAAGAAACGCUGCCCACCAUUGGCACCUGUAAAGCUCUAUACCCGUUUGAAGGUAAAAAUGAGGGCACUAUAGCGAUAGCAGAAGGAGAGCUCCUGUAUGUCAUAGAACAAGACAAAGGCGACGGCUGGACACGAGUGCGCAGAAACGAGGAGGAGGAAGGAUACGUCCCUACAACUUACAUCGAGGUCUUUUUGGAAACGAAUGCCAAAGGUGCUAUGACAUAUAUUUAACUGAGCAAGUCUGUGUUUGUUGCAACAGUCUGGACUUGUCCGUUCCCAGGAAUGUUACUGCUAGCUCAGAAACAAUGCUUUAUUGGAGGGAUGGGCCAAUCAGAUCUGUCUGUGUGCCUCAAGACAAUUUAGACAGUAUUAUUGUAUAAAUUUUCUACUUGAAUGUUAUUCAUGUGGAGCUUGGAGUCAUACUACUAGUGCCACCUAGUGUUUAUAGUAUAUCACAAAUGCUUUGGAAAUGUAAAUAUUUAUGAUUUAAUAUACAGUCUCAAAUAUUUCCGCUUUGAUCAUUUUACAUAGUUCUUGUAAGUACUUUUAUGCACUUUUUUUUAUUGUAUCCUAUAGAUCAAAAUAUAAGCUAUUGUGUUUUGGUCAAUUGUAGCCAGUAUAAAUGCAUGCUACUACUGAACAAUCAUGCAGAUAGAAAUGCAUUUUAAACCUGCUGUAAGAUAGAGCUAAAGAAAGAUAUUUUUUUAGAUUAAUAAAAAUAAUAAUAAUAACAAAAAGUCUCCUUCUGUGGCAUGCUGUAAAAUGCACAUUAUACAACAGUACGAGAAGGCUUUGAACACAGUAUUUGUAGACCAGGUAUAUAUUUCAUUUUAUAAAACAUUAGACUAAGAUAUAAAAACGUUUUUCCCUUGUUGUAUUUACUUCUAAUAAUGAUGGUUGAGAGUUGUUCUGGUCCUUUUUUCCAGGCCUUUGGUAAAGGAAUAAAGACCUAAGUUAGUGUUCUGUUAAACGAUUCCUUGAAGUCAGCGUGAGGUUGGCUGAGGAAUGGCAGGGCAAGCAGUCUUGGAGAAAAACAACCACUUUCUUCAAAUGCACUUAAAGUGCACCUAACAUCACCUAAAGUUUAAACAAUUUCAGUUUUGCCUAACCAUUUCAAAAUGAUCAGCUACAAAGUACAAUUUCUGAGAUCAAAAAUCUUUCUCAUUCCUAACAACAACACCACUCACAAGCACAAACUUAGCUUUUUGCUUUGCUUUAAAUGAACUAACUUCUGCUUGCAAAUUGACCACCUCUCCUUUCGUAUACCUUUUGCUUUUUUGCACACACACUGGACAGAGGGUGUGGUUGGAGAAUGGACAAUGACCAGCAUGGAUAUAAUUAUGAGCAACAGGAAGAAUUCAUGUACCACCUUCAUCUGGCAGUGUGUUUGUGAGAAAGUCAUUCCAACCAUUAGGAUACUAAUGCACCCUGAGAUACUUCUGCUGGUUUUUGUGGCUAAUCUGACUGUAAAAUGUGCUUUAUUCAUACCAAAAUGUAUAUCUUUGUUUUAAAUGGCUUAACUUGCUGCAUGGAAACAGUUGCAGUGUGUUCUGUCAUCUGUAUUGUGACUUGAAUUGCCAUUACACUUGGUUAAAUUAACAGUGCCAUUUAAUGUGUUUACGGUAUCCCCAGAUCACCAAUUAUACGUAACAUUAUGACCACUGGUGAAUAACACUGUUUAUAGACUUCAUUAUGACACCUGUGAGUAGAACAUAGGCUUCAAUUUUAUAUAUUUAAAUGCUUAAAAAUAACUAAUGUUUAGUUCGGUGGUCAUAUUGUUGCGUCGGAUUGGUUUUCAUUUGUUUACUCUGUUUCUGUGAAGUGUAUUGACACAGCAUAUGGUAUACAGUUAAAUGUUGCUUUAGGACAUCAUGUUUGCCUGUCUGUGGUAUGUGUGUGUGAGAAUAUGAAGAUUUUCCACCACUCCUAUUGAACCCCAUGUUCUGUGUCACUUGUCUGUUUUCUCUGACCACACCCCUCUUCUUUUAUACCUAUAUAUAUAUAUAUAUAGUCCCCUACCUGUUUUUGACCCCUCCCGUCACAAGCUGCUACAUACCAACAGUUGCUACUUGUACACUUCUAUACAUCUUGCAGGGAGUCUUUCAGCAUUGUGAUUUGCUGCAUGCUUGCCCUGUCUUCCUCCCUGCCCCUCUGCUGUGGCAAACCCAGUCUGUAUUGGCUCUUUCUGUUAAGUUAACUUGCCUGGUCAAGCUGUUUUGAAUUAAUCUGGAAAUCACUGAUUUUGGUUCUGCGCCUGUGUAAAUACUUCAUGUUUAGUUUCAGAUGGCAUGUUUCCCUGUUCUUUUCUUCCUCAGUGUUACACCUAUUCUGCAAGGUUGUUUUCUGGGAGGUCAUAUGCAUAAAUGGAUGUCUUUGUAUUCUGUUUUACUUUAAGUACACAGAGCGGUAUGUAUGUUACGUGUUAAUAUUGUAAGUUAUGAUCAGGGUGUUUUAUGCAAGUUUGUAGCCAUUAUCACAAUGAGUUUGUUAUCUACUGUAUAUGAAAAUAUACUGUGAGCUUUUUAGUUUCCAGGAGUGACCAGAUGGAGCUCUUAGAGCCAUAAUAACCAGUUUAUCACUGAGACAAAAUAGAGUCAAUGCAGGUACAGUACAUGGAAGAAAAAUGUGACGUCUUCUAAAUCAGUGAUUCUAGUGAUUCACUGAUUUUUCUCAAAGGAAUACAGAUUUCAAUCAACUUUUUAAGUUUUCUUUUUUAAUGUAUCUUUUUUAGCCCAGAAUGUAUUGCCUAUAUAAUAUAAGUCAAAUUUACAAAGUUUUGUAUUUUGGAUUAAGCCAUUAAUGUGUUGUUCAUCAUGUUUCUAUUAACACAUAAGUUGGAAAGGUGGGAAGUGAAAAAUUGACCAUCUGGAAGGAUCGAUCAAACCCUGCUGUGCCAUAGCAUCAAGCUCAAUGCCUCGUCUUUUUAUGUCAAGAAAACAAGCAACAGUUUAUAAUGACAAUACAUAGGUCAGAAUAGGAAAGCUAUUCAACCCGAUCAUGUCCCUUUAGCCAUGCCCAAGAAAAACUUUGUACAGUGGAAAUGGAGGGAUGGAACCAGAGAGAGUAUAUAUGAAUAUAUAAAGUUUUCAAAGGAAACCUCUAUUUUAACUAUUGAGAGUCUUACCAAUACUUUAUCUGCUUUGCAAAGUAAGACUUGUUUUCUUUUGUGAGGUCUACCAAAUGGUGUGUCUUUGCACUUUCCAUUGUGUCCAUUUGGUGGGCCAUGCUUGUGUUUCAGAGCACUGAAUACGUUGUAUUGUGUUUACUGUGCCAAUUAAAUAUGCCUGGAAAAAAAA